This 413-nucleotide ribosomal RNA is filed under the name Acanthamoeba genotype T4. RNAcentral describes it as "SSU rRNA". It matches the Rfam family "Eukaryotic small subunit ribosomal RNA", at positions 752 to 1114 of the family's 1831-position model. The record is from RNAcentral. Lineage: Eukaryota; Discosea; Longamoebia; Acanthamoebidae.
UUACCGUGAAAAAAUUAGAGUGUUCAAAGCAGGCAGAUUCAAUUUUCUGCCACCGAAUACAUUAGCAUGGGAUAAUGGAAUAGGACCCUGUCCUCCUAUUUUCAGUUGGUUUUGGCAGCGCGAGGACUAGGGUAAUGAUUAAUAGGGAUAGUUGGGGGCAUUAAUAUUUAAUUGUCAGAGGUGAAAUUCUUGGAUUUAUGAAAGAUUAACUUCUGCGAAAGCAUCUGCCAAGGAUGUUUUCAUUAAUCAAGAACGAAAGUUAGGGGAUCGAAGACGAUCAGAUACCGUCGUAGUCUUAACCAUAAACGAUGCCGACCAGCGAUUAGGAGACGUUGAAUACAAAACACCACCAUCGGCGCGGUCGUCCUUGGCGUUCGUGUUCACGCACGAGCGCGAGGCGCUAGUCCGGUCCA